GAUGAACGCUGGCGGCGUGCUUAACACAUGCAAGUCGAACGGGAUCCCAGGAGCUUGCUCCUGGGUGAGAGUGGCGAACGGGUGAGUAAUGCGUGACCGACCUGCCCCAUACACCGGAAUAGCUCCUGGAAACGGGUGGUAAUGCCGGAUGCUCCAGUUGACCGCAUGGUCCUCUGGGAAAGCUUUUGCGGUAUGGGAUGGGGUCGCGUCCUAUCAGCUUGAUGGCGGGGUAACGGCCCACCAUGGCUUCGACGGGUAGCCGGCCUGAGAGGGCGACCGGCCACAUUGGGACUGAGAUACGGCCCAGACUCCUACGGGAGGCAGCAGUGGGGAAUAUUGCACAAUGGGCGCAAGCCUGAUGCAGCGACGCCGCGUGCGGGAUGACGGCCUUCGGGUUGUAAACCGCUUUUGACUGGGAGCAAGCCCUUCGGGGUGAGU
RNAcentral lists this ribosomal RNA (438 nucleotides) under uncultured bacterium. Its description in RNAcentral is "bacterial SSU rRNA". It matches the Rfam family "Bacterial small subunit ribosomal RNA", at positions 28 to 474 of the family's 1533-position model. The record is from RNAcentral.